This 428-nucleotide ribosomal RNA is filed under the name uncultured bacterium. RNAcentral's name for it is "bacterial SSU rRNA". It matches the Rfam family "Bacterial small subunit ribosomal RNA", at positions 355 to 776 of the family's 1533-position model. The record is from RNAcentral.
UUUCGAAUCAUUCACAAUGGGCGAAAGCCUGAUGGUGCGACGCCGCGUGGGGGAUGAAGGUCUUCGGAUUGUAAACCCCUGUCACCGGGGAAGAAACGUCAUACGUUAAUAGCGUAUGGCCUGACUUAACCCGGAGAGGAAGCAGUGGCUAACUCUGUGCCAGCAGCCGCGGUAAUACAGAGACUGCAAGCGUUAUUCGGAUUCACUGGGCGUAAAGGGUGCGCAGGAGGCCAUGUGUGUUAGGCGUGAAAGCCCGGGGCUUAACCCCGGAAUUGCACCUAAAACUACAUGGCUAGAGUACUGGAGAGGGUAGCGGAAUUCACGGUGUAGCAGUGAAAUGCGUAGAUAUCGUGAGGAACACCAAUGGCGAAGGCAGCUACCUGGACAGUUACUGACUCUCAGGCACGAAAGCGUGGGUAGCAAAAGGG